GGUACCGUCAGGCCUAACGUGUAUUAUACGUUAGGAGGUUCUUCCCCUCCUGACAGAGCUUUACGACCCAAGAGCCUUCAUCACUCACGCGGUAUUGCUGCGUCAGGCUUUCGCCCAUUGCGCAAAAUUCCCC
Molecule: ribosomal RNA, 133 nt
Filed under: uncultured bacterium
Lineage: Bacteria
Description: partial 16S ribosomal RNA
Source: RNAcentral